This 90-nucleotide transfer RNA is filed under the name Okeania sp. SIO3C4. RNAcentral's name for it is "tRNA-Ser". It matches the Rfam family "tRNA". From Rfam's summary of the family: Transfer RNA (tRNA) molecules are approximately 80 nucleotides in length. Their secondary structure includes four short double-helical elements and three loops (D, anti-codon, and T loops). The record is from RNAcentral. Lineage: Bacteria; Bacillati; Cyanobacteriota; Cyanophyceae; Oscillatoriales; Microcoleaceae.
GGAGAGGUGGCUGAGUGGUCGAAAGCGGCAGAUUGCUAAUCUGUUGUACGGUGUUUAGCCGUACCGAGGGUUCGAAUCCCUCUCUCUCCG